RNAcentral lists this ribosomal RNA (497 nucleotides) under uncultured bacterium. Its description in RNAcentral is "partial 16S ribosomal RNA". It matches the Rfam family "Bacterial small subunit ribosomal RNA", at positions 28 to 507 of the family's 1533-position model. The record is from RNAcentral.
GAUGAACGCUGGCGGCGUGCCUAAUACAUGCAAGUCGAGCGAACAGACGAGGAGCUUGCUCCUCUGACGUUAGCGGCGGACGGGUGAGUAACACGUGGAUAACCUACCUAUAAGACUGGGAUAACUUCGGGAAACCGUAGCUAAUACCGGAUAAUAUAUUGAACCGCAUGGUUCAAUAGCGAAAGACGGUUUUGCUGUCACUUAUAGAUUGAUCCGCGCAGCAUUAGCUAGUUGGUAAGGUAACGGCUUACCAAGGCAACGAUGCGUAGCCGACCUGAGAGCGUGAUCGGCCACACUGGAACUGAGACACGGCCCAGACUCCUACGGGAGGCAGCAGUAGGGAAUCUUCCGCAAUGGGCGAAAGCCUGACGGAGCAACGCCGCGUGAGUGAUGAAGGUCUUCGGAUCGGAAAACGCUGUUAUUAGGGAAGAACAAAUGUGUAAGUAACUAUGCACGUCUUGACGGUACCUAAUCAGAAAGCCACGGCUAACUACGUG